GAUGAACGCUAGCGGCAGGCUUAACACAUGCAAGUCGAGGGGCAGCAUGAGACAGAGAUUCGUCGAAGUCUUGAUGGCGACCGGCGCAAGGGUGCGUAACGCGUGAGCAACUUGCCCGUUUCAGGGGGAUAACCGUUGGAAACGACGACUAAUACCCCAUGGCAUCAUAAGGAGGCAUCUCCAUAUGAUUAAAGAAUUUCGGAAACGGAUAGGCUCGCGUGACAUUAGAUAGAUGGCGGGUAACGGCCCACCAUGUCUACGAUGUCUAGGGGUUCUGAGAGGAAGGUCCCCCANACUGGAACUGAGACACGGUCCAGACUCCUACGGGAGGCAGCAGUGAGGAAUAUUGGUCAAUGGUCGAAGGACUGAACCAGCCAUGCCGCGUGAAGGUGACGGCCCUAUGGGUCUUAAACUUCUUUUGCAAGGGAGCAAUAAGGUCUACGUGUAGACCGAUGAGAGUACCUUGCGAAUAAGCAUCGGCUAACUCCG
This 489-nucleotide ribosomal RNA is filed under the name uncultured bacterium. RNAcentral's name for it is "bacterial SSU rRNA". It matches the Rfam family "Bacterial small subunit ribosomal RNA", at positions 28 to 505 of the family's 1533-position model. The record is from RNAcentral.